This 436-nucleotide long non-coding RNA is filed under the name Erythranthe guttata (spotted monkey flower). RNAcentral's name for it is "long non-coding RNA (EGUT_LNC001315)". The record is from RNAcentral. Lineage: Eukaryota; Viridiplantae; Streptophyta; Magnoliopsida; Lamiales; Phrymaceae.
AAAACAAAAAAACAUGGCAGGUAAUAACAGGCAGAAGAAAUCUUCUUUCUCUUUGUUCAGUUUCUUCAAAGGUAGAAAUUCCCGUUCGGCCAAAAGGGGUGACGAUUCGAGAGACGAGUAUGUGAAGGCUUACAAAGUUUAUCCAAGCGAUGAGGACAGAGGCCGGUGGGUGGCCGAGCCCGGGAUUGACAAGAAAGCCUCUGCUUACAUCUCUUUAACUACUGAUAAGUGGGAAAAACUCGCGGUGGCUAAUUAGUAGAUUGUUUCUAUUUCGUUAUUCGUUCCGGAGAACUAGCUCUACUUAUAUUUGUUCUAUAUAUGUGAAUUAAUGUAAUUCAUUGGUUUUAUUUGAUGCUAUUAGUUGUUUCUAAGUUGAAUGGAUCAGUAGAUAGUUGCUGAAUUGCAAAUAAUUAAUAUGAGAAAGAAUAAGAUGAUG